Molecule: ribosomal RNA, 549 nt
Filed under: uncultured bacterium
Lineage: Bacteria
Description: partial 16S ribosomal RNA
Rfam family: Bacterial small subunit ribosomal RNA
Source: RNAcentral
UGGGGAAUUUUGGACAAUGGGCGAAAGCCUGAUCCAGCAAUGCCGCGUGUGUGAAGAAGGCCUUCGGGUUGUAAGCACUUUUGUCCGGAAAGAAAUCCUUGGCUCUAAUACAGUCGGGGGAUGACGGUACCGGAAGAAUAAGCACCGGCUAACUACGUGCCAGCAGCCGCGGUAAUACGUAGGGUGCAAGCGUUAAUCGGAAUUACUGGGCGUAAAGCGUGCGCAGGCGGUUUGCUAAGACCGAUGUGAAAUCCCCGGGCUCAACCUGGGAACUGCAUUGGUGACUGGCAGGCUAGAGUAUGGCAGAGGGGGGUAGAAUUCCACGUGUAGCAGUGAAAUGCGUAGAGAUGUGGAGGAAUACCGAUGGCGAAGGCAGCCCCCUGGGCAAUACUGACGCUCAUGCACGAAAGCGUGGGGAGCAAACAGGAUUAGAUACCCUGGUAGUCCACGCCCUAAACGAUGUCAACUAGUUGUUGGGGAUUCAUUCCUUAGUAACGUAGCUAACGCGUGAAGUUGACCGCCUGGGGAGUACGGUCGCAAGAUUAAAAC